This 334-nucleotide unclassified non-coding RNA is filed under the name soil metagenome. Its description in RNAcentral is "partial contains 5.8S ribosomal RNA, internal transcribed spacer 2, and large subunit ribosomal RNA". The stretch from base 1 to 120 matches the Rfam family "5.8S ribosomal RNA", at positions 35 to 154 of the family's 154-position model. The record is from RNAcentral.
GAUGAAGAACGCAGCGAAAUGCGAUAAGUAAUGUGAAUUGCAGAAUUCAGUGAAUCAUCGAAUCUUUGAACGCACAUUGCGCCCGCCAGUAUUCUGGCGAGCAUGCCUGUUCGAGCGUCAUUUCAACCAUCAAGCCCCAGGCUUGUGUUGGAGCCCUGCGGCUGCCGCAGCCUCCCAAAACCAGUGGCGGGCUCGCUAUCACACCGAGUGCAGUAGUUUACUCUUCGCUCAGGGCGUGUGGCGGGUGCUAGCCGUGAAACCCCCAACUUCUCAAGGUUGACCUCGGAUCAGGUAGGAAUACCCGCUGAACUUAAGCAUAUCAAUAAGCGGAGGA